This is a long non-coding RNA of Xiphophorus hellerii (green swordtail), 196 nucleotides long. RefSeq lists it as uncharacterized. The record is from RefSeq and is a predicted model, not a curated record. The transcript is spliced from 2 exons. Lineage: Eukaryota; Metazoa; Chordata; Actinopteri; Cyprinodontiformes; Poeciliidae.
CCAGCCGAGAGAAAUAGAAAAAAAAUAUUAUUUAUAUAAUUAGGCUGCAAAUCAUAAAUGCUUUUAAUCAUAUUUUCACAUUUAUUGAUUCUGUAGCAAUCCUGAUAGUUUUUAACAUUAAUUGGAAUUUAUCAUGACAACAAUAUAUCAAGAUUCUUGACAUAAGAAAUUUAUCAUGAUAAAUGAUAAACGAUAC